Molecule: ribosomal RNA, 222 nt
Filed under: uncultured Actinomycetales bacterium
Lineage: Bacteria; Bacillati; Actinomycetota; Actinomycetes; Actinomycetales
Description: partial 16S ribosomal RNA
Rfam family: Bacterial small subunit ribosomal RNA
Source: RNAcentral
GAGUAACACGUGGGUGAUCUGCCCUGCACUUCGGGAUAAGCCUGGGAAACUGGGUCUAAUACCGGAUAGGACGAUGGUUUGGAUGCCAUUGUGGAAAGUUUUUCGGUGUGGGAUGAGCUCGCGGCCUAUCAGCUUGUUGGUGGGGUAAUGGCCUACCAAGGCGUCGACGGGUAGCCGGCCUGAGAGGGUGUACGGCCACAUUGGGACUGAGAUACGGCCCAG